CAGUAGCCGCGGUAAUACAGAGGGUGCGAGCGUUAAUCGGAUUUACUGGGCGUAAAGCGUGCGCAGGCGGUUUUGUAAGACAGAGGUGAAAUCCCCGGGCUCAACCUGGGAACUGCCUUUGUGACUGCAAGGCUAGAGUACGGCAGAGGGGGAUGGAAUUACGCGUGUAGCAGUGAAAUGCGUAGAUAUGCGGAGGAACACCGAUGGCGAAGGCAAUCCCCUGGGCCUGUACUGACGCUCAUGCACGAAAGCGUGGGGAGCAAACAGGAUUAGAUACCCCCGUAGUCCCUGUCUCUUAUAC
This 301-nucleotide ribosomal RNA is filed under the name uncultured bacterium. Its description in RNAcentral is "partial 16S ribosomal RNA". It matches the Rfam family "Bacterial small subunit ribosomal RNA", at positions 509 to 807 of the family's 1533-position model. The record is from RNAcentral.